This 476-nucleotide ribosomal RNA is filed under the name uncultured anaerobic ammonium-oxidizing bacterium. Its description in RNAcentral is "bacterial SSU rRNA". It matches the Rfam family "Bacterial small subunit ribosomal RNA", at positions 365 to 832 of the family's 1533-position model. The record is from RNAcentral.
UUCGCAAUGCCCGAAAGGGUGACGAUGCGACGCCGCGUGAGCGAAGAAGGCCCUAGGGUUGUAAAGCUCUGUCGAGGGUUAUGAAAUAUAGAUGGGUUAAUACCCCAUUUAUUUGACAAAAGCCCAAAAGGAAGCCACGGCUAACUCUGUGCCAGCAGCCGCGGUAAUACAGAGGUGGCGAGCGUUGUUCGGUAUUAUUGGGCGUAAAGAGCACGUAGGCGGCCUUGCAAGUCAGUUGUGAAAGCCUUCCGCUCAACGGAAGAAUGCCAGCUGAUACUACAGGGCUUGAGUACGGGAGGGGAGAGUGGAACUUCUGGUGGAGCGGUGAAAUGCGUAGAUAUCAGAAGGAACGCCGGCGGCGAAAGCGACUCUCUGGCCCGAAACUGACGCUGAGGUGCGAAAGCUAGGGGAGCAAACGGGAUUGGAUACCCCGGUAGUCCUAGCCGUAAACGACGGGCACUAAGUAGAGGGGUUUU